Hypomesus transpacificus is the source of this 4138-nucleotide long non-coding RNA. RefSeq lists it as uncharacterized. Lineage: Eukaryota; Metazoa; Chordata; Actinopteri; Osmeriformes; Osmeridae. The record is from RefSeq and is a predicted model, not a curated record. The transcript has 6 exons.
GCUUGUUCAUUCAAACACCACUCCCCCAAACUCAACACAUAGGCAGUGUCUGCAUUCGGUCUUCCAUCUCCCACUCUUCCUCUGUCUCCCUAUCAGCAUGCACAGUCGAUUGCUCUAUCUCUGGGUGACUGGGGUCCUGGUUCUACCUUUGUGCUGGGGAAACCAAGAUGAGGAAUACGAUGAAGUUACUCCAACGCCAGACUAUGACUACAGUGCCACUUUGGACUACAUAUUUUACAGUAAUAGCAGCCAGCCAAUGGACUACAGUUUGUUUGAAACAAUAGGGGAGGAGAAUGAAAAUGAGCCAGGAUAUCCUAGGGAUGAGGCUGCUGUGAUUGGCCAAUCAUGCCUAGUGCUGAUCCUAGGAUUGGCUGCUCAACAGAUCUGUUGCCUAGCAUGAAGGAGACCAUUCAAGACAGAGCAUAGAAAUGCUGGAUGUCGGACAGAGCAGCAGCCUACUGACUGACCUAGUAUGUCCAAUGGUUCAUAUCAGUAGUGCAACCAGAAAAGGCAGCAUGUGAAGUUUUUCAGCACGAUGAUAAUACAACAAUGGUUGUAUGGACUUUGUGGAAUCUCCUCUGACCACUCUUUAGGGCACUUUUUUUGGGAUAUGAUAUACAUUUGUGAGUGUACACAUUUGAAUUGUACUUAAUUGUAAUAAGGAUCUUUACAGUUUUUUACAAAAUUGAAGGUAAAUACAAUUGCCUUGAUAAUGCCAUUCAAAUAAUUUUCAUUCAAUGUAAAGCCACAGUCAUUAGUCUAUUAGCCCAAGUCAACAAAAUGUUUCACCCCACAGUACUUUCGCAUACUUUCUAUUGUCUUUGAGAACAUUUUCUACAACGUGUUUUACUGCUUAUACAAUAAAUACAUAAUUCAAUUUUAUGGGUCAUAUUUAGUCAUGCAUAUCUUUUCAUUUUCAUUUCACCUUUCAUUUCAAUUCAAUGUUCUUUGGGUUAAAAAAAGAACAGCUGUAAUGUUUUACAGUUUUCCCUGCCACAAGUCAUAGCUAGCUCUAGAUGCGUUAACACCUGGGUGCAUUUUUCUAUUCUCUGUGGUCAAUACUUCAUAGUUAGGGUGUAGGUUUUAAAGCAUUGCAGAUGUUAACUGGAAGGAGUCAAGUACCAUGUGUAUUGAUAAUAGGGUUCCAAUUAUCCUCCCAUCCUUAGAAAAGCAUUGAUGUUGAAAUUAUAUGUUUACCAUAAAACUGAGAGGCCUACAGUGGGGUGUGUGUGUGUGGGGGGGGGGGGGGGGGGGGGGGGGGGGGGGGGCAUUACAGUGCUAGUCAACAAGCUGUAUUUUCUCCUCUAUUCUGAUAUGAUCUCUGAGACUAUAUAUUUUCACAUUCAAACACAAAGCCAAGGAUUUGUCAAAGGGAGCGUAUUGCAUUCUGGGAAAUGUGCGGCCCAAGGCAUGGUCAGAGGACUGGGCAGCAGGAGAAAACCAUUAGGGAGGCAGAAUAGUCGUGACCUGGUGUGAUGCCUCCUUCAACAGUCAUCUGCUGAUCAUCACCAAAUGAGGAGGGGGGUCUUGCCAUGUACUGAGAAGGCGGCAUCAAUGAGAAUACUUAAACUAGAUUUUCAGGUGAAUAAAUCAAAUGAAAUCCCACUGCAUCAGCAGUAUUUGACAUGAUUUAAAGUACUGAGAAGUUCCCCCUCAAGUAUGACGUCUAUCCAAAAAAGAGUGUUGCCUCACCUUUUUCUCCUCUCCAUACUCACCCACCCCCAGCUCUGACCUACCCAAAAAUGUGUCCCCUCCUCACACAUACACACAUAACCUGUAAAUAACUUCCAGCUGUAAAAGUAUUAAAGUCAACACAAAACAUCUGCGUGUCUCUUAUACAUCUCUAUUUAUACUGGCACAAACUCCCCUCUGAAGCACAGUCUGUCCCCAUGACUCAGGGCAUGCACAUUGUGGGAGAGCUCCGGGAAAGCACAGACGGGCAGAUAAAGAGAAGGGAGUGAAAGAUAAAAAAAAGAUAAAAUACAAGUGUUGUCUGCCUAUACUGUAGGUCUACUAGUGUAAUAAAACUUAGAGAGUAUGUAGCACAGCACUAUCAAUAUUAUAUACAAUUGUAUUUAGCUAAAUUGAUCAUUAUAAUGUAUUCAUAGUAUGAGAUACUAAGUUGUUAAAGAAAAUAAUUAUAAUUUUUUUUUAUGGGAAAUUGAUUGAAAUCCGCUAAAUCAGACAGAAUUUCAGAGACCCAAUACCUGAAACUAAUUGACGUCACAUGAAGGAUGGUCAAGGCGGCCGACUGAUACGUGUCUCUUGACAUCAUUACUGGGCUAUUAAAACCAUCUAAAGAAGGAAAAGAUUAAACUAAGGACAGCCAAGAGAUUAAGGCAAGUGGGGUGUUCCCUUUUUAUCACUUUAUAUAACAGGUGCCGUAAGGAUGAAGGAGUGGUCUAUAACAAAUUUCAUUCACAAAUAGGUUUCUUUCUUAUUGCAUUAAGUACAAAUCAACCAGCCUACACACAUCCUUUGUGAUCCAUAAAAAAAGAGUCUAAACGUCGAAUUACAAGUUGUCAUAUAAAGUUCACUUGGGUUAAAGGGUUUAAUCCAAUUAAACCCAACCAAACCAAACAUGUUUUCUUAGCGUAGUCCGCAAUCUCCCAUCGUCAGCCUGGGGCUGCAACAAUGGGAUUGAUGACAUAAUUGAACAGAUCCAAUGAAGUAAGUGGGUGACGGGUGUGUAGGUGUCUGCUGGGCGACUUCCCAGUACUGAUACCUAAUUGAAGCUCAUUCAGACGGAGGAGACCAACAACUAAACCUGCUGCUCUUUUUCAGUACCUUGGACAGCGUUGCAAGAACAGCGAGAAGUCACUUUAUUGACUGCAUUCCAUCCAACACAGAAAUGUCAAAACCAGCAGUUAUACUCCUUACUUCUGUUUACUUUUUGUACAUAUUAUCUUCGACGUCAAACGUGGCUGCAGGAUGGACUGAUGAAAGGUCACAAUCUAAGCAUGAAGCUACCAAGGACACAAGGGAAUUGCUUGGUGUUCUUCACAACGUUCUCGAGAAACUUCAGAACAGAAGAAUGGAUUCAUGGGACAGAAGACAGAGCCGCCUCCCUAGUGUAAGUCCAAUAAGAGGUUAUAUGUGACAGAUUCCUUACAGGUUAUAUCUCAGAGGAUCUCAGAUUUUCACAUCUUCGACUGUUGAAUAAAUAUAAAAACCUUUUAGAUUUUGUCUGUGCAUCACAACAUAACUAUAAAGACAGAUUUGUAGUGUCACAGACAAACAACAAUUUAUCAACUUUAAAACUGGUAGCCUUAGUACAAAGUGAAAAUUCACUAUACUCAAAAUUAUUUAAAGAUUGAAUUACACACUUGUCAUAUGAGGCCAUCUAAUGGUUGAUUGGAGUUUCACAAUGUCUGUCUGGUUUUGGGGCUAUGAGGAAGCUACAGCAACUGCUCGACACUUCAGCAAGCAGAUAUAAAAAGUAUAAUAAUGAUAUUUUGCUUUCUAUUGUCUGUGCAUAUGUGUCAUUUCCCCAAAAUGUGUUUGCAGUGUAAUGUUGGUGAUUUCUGCACAGCGAAAAAGGGACCACGAUUUGGCCAACUAUGUGACUGUCCAAGAGGGUCAAAGUGCAACCACUUCUUUCUCAAAUGUUUGUGAUUGAUGGCAUUUCAUACUGGAUUUGACUAUUUUUGUCUUGAGUUUUGAUUUAUACAUUUUAUAAUCUAUCAUGCAAGUGUUCUUUAUAUAAUUUUCCUGUGAAAGGUUUUGAAUUAAUGUUCAUGUUUAUUUGAUGAACUGUAGGCAAAUACUUUAUUUUUAAAUAAAAUGUGGUUUACAUUUUUAACCGUUGUAGGAGAGCUUAUUUGAAAUAUGUUCACAGGCACACAUACCAAUUUCAAUUUGUAUUUGAGGUAUGUCCUUCUUUUAUGUUGAGAUAAGGUCCAAAUAUUUUUUUACAACUUGGACCAAAUCUAGGAUACUCGUGAAUGAACCAUAAACAUGCGGGCAAAUACAUAUUUUUACAUUUUAAUUACAUGCAACAACAUUAAAUGUUCUGUAGUACUUUAGUACUCAGGUUAUGGAUAUGUUAACAAAGCAUUGGGACUUUAGUAAGAAGAAACAUAACAGAUUACAUCACAACCUUAAAUAACUAUAUAUUGUUGUACUGCAUUAACAGCAA